UACAGAGGGUGCAAGCGUUAAUCGGAUUUACUGGGCGUAAAGCGUGCGUAGGCGGUUCAGUGUGUCGGUUGUGAAAUCCCCGGGCUUAACCUGGGAACUGCAUCCGAAACUGCUGGACUAGAGUGUGGUAGAGGGCGGUGGAAUUCCAGGUGUAGCGGUGAAAUGCGUAGAUAUCUGGAGGAACACCGAUGGCGAAGGCAGCCGCCUGGGCCACAACUGACGCUGAGGUACGAAAGCGUGGGGAGCAAACAGG
This 253-nucleotide ribosomal RNA is filed under the name uncultured Gammaproteobacteria bacterium. Its description in RNAcentral is "partial 16S ribosomal RNA". It matches the Rfam family "Bacterial small subunit ribosomal RNA", at positions 524 to 776 of the family's 1533-position model. The record is from RNAcentral. Lineage: Bacteria; Pseudomonadati; Pseudomonadota; Gammaproteobacteria.